ACGUAGAAGCAGUGGCAGUAUCAUAGCCAAUGAGGUUUAUCUGAGGCGCGAUUUUAUUGAUAAUUGAAAACUUUCCUCAAAAGU
Molecule: small nuclear RNA, 84 nt
Filed under: Mus spicilegus (steppe mouse)
Lineage: Eukaryota; Metazoa; Chordata; Mammalia; Rodentia; Muridae
Description: U4 spliceosomal RNA (ENSMSIG00000001149.1)
Rfam family: U4 spliceosomal RNA
About the family: U4 small nuclear RNA (U4 snRNA) is a component of the major U2-dependent spliceosome. The structure of U4 snRNA from yeast and human has been reported. U4 snRNA presents a k-turn RNA motif in the 5p-SL related to recognition of Snu13 protein.
Source: RNAcentral